Molecule: ribosomal RNA, 424 nt
Filed under: uncultured bacterium
Lineage: Bacteria
Description: bacterial SSU rRNA
Rfam family: Bacterial small subunit ribosomal RNA
Source: RNAcentral
UGAGGAAUAUUGGUCAAUGGGCGCAAGCCUGAACCAGCCAUGCCGCGUGCAGGAAGACGGUCCUAUGGAUUGUAAACUGCUUUUAUCAGGGAAUAAACCUCUUUACGUGUAGAGAGCUGAAGGUACCUGAUGAAUAAGCACCGGCUAACUCCGUGCCAGCAGCCGCGGUAAUACGGAGGGUGCAAGCGUUAUCCGGAAUCAUUGGGUUUAAAGGGUCCGCAGGCGGGAAGAUAAGUCAGUGGUGAAAUCUCACAGCUCAACUGUGAAACUGCCAUUGAUACUGUCUUUCUUGAAUUCGAUCGAAGUGGGCGGAAUGUGACAUGUAGCGGUGAAAUGCUUAGAUAUGUCACAGAACACCGAUAGCGAAGGCAGCUCACUAGGUCUGGAUUGACGCUCAGGGACGAAAGCGUGGGGAGCAAACAGG